RNAcentral lists this ribosomal RNA (833 nucleotides) under Lactiplantibacillus plantarum. RNAcentral's name for it is "bacterial SSU rRNA". It matches the Rfam family "Bacterial small subunit ribosomal RNA", at positions 52 to 852 of the family's 1533-position model. The record is from RNAcentral. Lineage: Bacteria; Bacillati; Bacillota; Bacilli; Lactobacillales; Lactobacillaceae.
UGAUGCAGUCGACGAACUCUGGUAUUGAUUGGUGCUUGCAUCAUGAUUUACAUUUGAGUGAGUGGCGAACUGGUGAGUAACACGUGGGAAACCUGCCCAGAAGCGGGGGAUAACACCUGGAAACAGAUGCUAAUACCGCAUAACAACUUGGACCGCAUGGUCCGAGUUUGAAAGAUGGCUUCGGCUAUCACUUUUGGAUGGUCCCGCGGCGUAUUAGCUAGAUGGUGGGGUAACGGCUCACCAUGGCAAUGAUACGUAGCCGACCUGAGAGGGUAAUCGGCCACAUUGGGACUGAGACACGGCCCAAACUCCUACGGGAGGCAGCAGUAGGGAAUCUUCCACAAUGGACGAAAGUCUGAUGGAGCAACGCCGCGUGAGUGAAGAAGGGUUUCGGCUCGUAAAACUCUGUUGUUAAAGAAGAACAUAUCUGAGAGUAACUGUUCAGGUAUUGACGGUAUUUAACCAGAAAGCCACGGCUAACUACGUGCCAGCAGCCGCGGUAAUACGUAGGUGGCAAGCGUUGUCCGGAUUUAUUGGGCGUAAAGCGAGCGCAGGCGGUUUUUUAAGUCUGAUGUGAAAGCCUUCGGCUCAACCGAAGAAGUGCAUCGGAAACUGGGAAACUUGAGUGCAGAAGAGGACAGUGGAACUCCAUGUGUAGCGGUGAAAUGCGUAGAUAUAUGGAAGAACACCAGUGGCGAAGGCGGCUGUCUGGUCUGUAACUGACGCUGAGGCUCGAAAGUAUGGGUAGCAAACAGGAUUAGAUACCCUGGUAGUCCAUACCGUAAACGAUGAAUGCUAAGUGUUGGAGGGUUUCCGCCCUUCAGUGCUGCAGC